UUUUUCCUACGGGGCGCAGCAGUGAGGAAUAUUGGUCAAUGGCCGAAGGGCUGAACCAGCCACGCCGCGUGAAGGAAUAAGGCCCUACGGGUCGUAAACUUCUUUAGUCAGGGAACAAAGGGUGCCACGUGUGGCGCUGUGAGUGUACCUGAAGAAUAAGCAUCGGCUAACUCCGUGCCAGCAGCCGCGGUAAUACGGAGGAUGCGAGCGUUAUCCGGAUUUAUUGGGUUUAAAGGGUGCGUAGGCGGUUUGUCAAGUCAGCGGUAAACAUUCCGGGCUCAACCCGGUCCCGCCGUUGAAACUGG
This 305-nucleotide ribosomal RNA is filed under the name uncultured bacterium. Its description in RNAcentral is "bacterial SSU rRNA". It matches the Rfam family "Bacterial small subunit ribosomal RNA", at positions 333 to 636 of the family's 1533-position model. The record is from RNAcentral.